This is a non-coding RNA of Vicia faba (fava bean), 273 nucleotides long. The record is from the annotation of a GenBank genome assembly. NCBI's taxonomy places the organism in Eukaryota, Viridiplantae, Streptophyta, Magnoliopsida, Fabales, Fabaceae.
AUGAAAGCAAUCUUUCAGGUUUUGAUUUUCGUUAGUGAUGAUGAUUGCAGAGGAAUAUUGAAGAAUUCUUGUGAUGAAGUUGUGAUGGUGGUUGGAGGCAAGUAUCUGAGGGAGAUGAAGAUUGAAUUGAGAUGCAGGUUGAUGGAGAGUGAAGGGAUGCACAUUGAUGUUAUCUUAAGGAAGCUAAAAGUCAUGAAGUAUGGUCUAAUUAAUAUGUGUCAAGGCCAAGGCAUUGGUACCGGAUAUCAUGGCAUUGAAGAACGUUUUCUAUGA